RNAcentral lists this unclassified non-coding RNA (526 nucleotides) under uncultured Glomeromycotina. RNAcentral describes it as "SSU rRNA". It matches the Rfam family "Eukaryotic small subunit ribosomal RNA", at positions 571 to 1092 of the family's 1831-position model. Lineage: Eukaryota; Fungi; Glomeromycota. The record is from RNAcentral.
CAGCCGCGGAAUUCCAGCUCCAAUAGCGUAUAUUAAAGUUGUUGCAGUUAAAAAGCUCGUAGUUGAAUUUCGGGAUUGGCGCAUCGGUCGUGCCUCACGGGGUAUGAACUGGUGCAGUCAAUUUCUCACCUUCUGGAGAACCGCGAUGUCCUUAAUUGGAUGCCGCGGGGAACCAGGACCUUUACUUUGAAAAAAUUAGAGUGUUUAAAGCAGGCAUUUUUGCUUGAAUACAUUAGCAUGGAAUAAUAAAAUAGGACGGCAUGGUUCUAUUUUGUUGGUUUCUAGGACCACCGUAAUGAUUAAUAGGGAUAGUUGGGGGCAUUAGUAUUCAAUUGUCAGAGGUGAAAUUCUUGGAUUUAUUGAAGACUAACUACUGCGAAAGCAUUUGCCAAGGAUGUUUUCAUUAAUCAAGAACGAAAGUUAGGGGAUCGAAGACGAUCAGAUACCGUCGUAGUCUUAACCAUAAACUAUGCCGACUAGGAAUCAGACGAUGUUAAUUUUUUAAUGACUCGUUUGGCACCUUACG